AGUGAACGCUGGCGGUAGGCCUAACACAUGCAAGUCGAACGGCAGCACAGUAAGAGCUUGCUCUUACGGGUGGCGAGUGGCGGACGGGUGAGGAAUACAUCGUAAUCUACUUUUUCGUGGGGGAUAACGUAGGGAAACUUACGCUAAUACCGCAUACGACCUACGGGUGAAAGCAGGGGAUCUUCGGACCUUGCGCGAUUGAAUGAGCCGAUGUCGGAUUAGCUAGUUGGCGGGGUAAAGGCCCACCAAGGGGACGGUCGGUAGCUGGUCUGAGAGGAGGGUCAGCCACACUGGAGGUGAGCCACGGCCCAGGGCCUGAGGGGCGGCAGAGGUGGGGAAUAUUGGCAACAGGGCGGAAGCCUGCUCUAGCCAUGCCGCGUGGGUGAAGAAGGCCUGCGGGUUGUAUGGCGCUUUUGUGGGGAAAGAAAAGCAGCAGGUUAAAACCACGCUGUGCGGCCGUAACCCAAAGAAUAAGCACCGGCAAACUUCGU
Molecule: ribosomal RNA, 491 nt
Filed under: uncultured bacterium
Lineage: Bacteria
Description: partial 16S ribosomal RNA
Rfam family: Bacterial small subunit ribosomal RNA
Source: RNAcentral